RNAcentral lists this ribosomal RNA (781 nucleotides) under bacterium enrichment culture clone CO12. RNAcentral's name for it is "bacterial SSU rRNA". It matches the Rfam family "Bacterial small subunit ribosomal RNA", at positions 406 to 1178 of the family's 1533-position model. The record is from RNAcentral.
UGAUGAAGGUUUUCGGAUCGUAAAACUCUGUUGUUAGACCGUUCGAAUAGGGCGGCACCUUGACGGUACCUAACCAGAAAGCCGCGGCUAACUACGUGCCAGCAGCCGCGGUAAUACGUAGGUGGCAAGCGUUGUCCGGAAUUAUUGGGCGUAAAGCGCGCGCAGGCGGUUUCUUAAGUCUGAUGUGAAAGCCCCCGGCUCAACCGGGGAGGGUCAUUGGAAACUGGGGAACUUGAGUGCAGAAGAGGAGAGUGGAAUUCCACGUGUAGCGGUGAAAUGCGUAGAGAUGUGGAGGAACACCAGUGGCGAAGGCGACUCGCUGGUCUGUAACUGACGCUGAGGCGCGAAAGCGUGGGGAGCGAACAGGAUUAGAUACCCUGGUAGUCCACGCCGUAAACGAUGAGUGCUAAGUGUUAGAGGGUUUCCGCCCUUUAGGGCUGCAGCAAACGCAUUAAGCACUCCGCCUGGGGAGUACGGUCGCAAGACUGAAACUCAAAGGAAUUGACGGGGGCCCGCACAAGCGGUGGAGCAUGUGGUUUAAUUCGAAGCAACGCGAAGAACCUUACCCAGGUCUUGACAUCCCUCUGACAACCCUAGAGAUAGGGUUUCCCCUUCGGGGGCAGAAGUGACAGGGGGUGCAUGGUUGUCGUCAGCUCGUGUCGUGAGAUGUUGGGUUAAGUCCCGCAAACGAGCGCAACCCCUUGAUCUUAGAUGGCCGCCAUUUCGAGUUGGGGAACUCUAAGGUGAACUGCCCGGAGACCAAACCCGGAAGGAGGGGGGG